CGCAGGAUAGCUCAGUCAGUAGAGCAGGAGACUCUUAAUCUCAGGGUUGCAGGUUUGAGCCCCGCAUUGUGCUGUGG
RNAcentral lists this transfer RNA (77 nucleotides) under Podarcis lilfordi (Lilford's wall lizard). Its description in RNAcentral is "tRNA.Lys". It matches the Rfam family "tRNA". Rfam says of the family: Transfer RNA (tRNA) molecules are approximately 80 nucleotides in length. Their secondary structure includes four short double-helical elements and three loops (D, anti-codon, and T loops). The record is from RNAcentral. Lineage: Eukaryota; Metazoa; Chordata; Lepidosauria; Squamata; Lacertidae.